This 255-nucleotide ribosomal RNA is filed under the name uncultured bacterium. Its description in RNAcentral is "partial 16S ribosomal RNA". It matches the Rfam family "Bacterial small subunit ribosomal RNA", at positions 524 to 776 of the family's 1533-position model. The record is from RNAcentral.
UACGUAGGGUGCGAGCGUUGUCCGGAAUUAUUGGGCGUAAAGAGCUCGUAGGCGGUCUGUCGCGUCGGUCGUGAAAACUUGGGGCUUAACCCUGAGCUUGCGGUCGAUACGGCAGUGACUGGAGUUCGGUAGGGGAGGACUGAAUUCCUGGUGUAGCGGUGAAAUGCGCAGAUAUCAGGAGGAACACCGGUGGCGAAGGCGGGUCUCUGGGCCGAUACUGACGCUGAGGAGCGAAAAGCUGGGGGAGCGAACAGG